ACGAACGCUGGCGGCGUGCUUAACCCAUGCAAGUCGAACGGAAAGGCCCUGCUUUUGUGGGGUGCUCGAGUGGCGAACGGGUGAGUAACACGUGAGUAACCUGCCCUUGACUUUGGGGUAACUUCAGGAAACUGGGGCUAAUACCGGAUAGGAGCUCCUGCUGCAUGGUGGGGGGUGGGAAGUUUCGGCGGUUGGGGAUGGACUCGCGGCUUAUCAGCUUGUUGGUGGGGUAGUGGCUUACCAAGGCUUUGACGGGUAGCCGGCCUGAGAGGGUGACCGGCCACAUUGGGACUGAGAUACGGCCCAGACUCCUACGGGAGGCAGCAGUGGGGAAUAUUGCACAAUGGGCGGAAGCCUGAUGCAGCAACGCCGCGUGCGGGAUGACGGCCUUCGGGUUGUAAACCGCUUUCGCCUGUGACGAAGCGUGAGUGACGGUAAUGGGUAAAGAAGCACCGGCUAACUACGUG
This 467-nucleotide ribosomal RNA is filed under the name uncultured bacterium. Its description in RNAcentral is "partial 16S ribosomal RNA". It matches the Rfam family "Bacterial small subunit ribosomal RNA", at positions 29 to 507 of the family's 1533-position model. The record is from RNAcentral.